CGAAUGAACUAGCCCUGAAAAUGGAUGGCGCUUAAGCGUGUUACCUAUACCUCACCGUCAGUGUUAGAGCGAUGCGCUGACGAGUAGGCAGGCGUGGAGGUUGUAUCGAAGCCUAGGCAGUGAUGCUGGGUGGAACAGCCUCUAGUGCAGAUCUUGGUGGUAGUAGCAAAUACUCAAAUGAGAACUUUGAGGACUGAAGUGGGGAAAGGUUCCGUGUGAACAGCAGUUGGACACGGGUUAGUCGAUCCUAAGCCAUAGGGAAACUCCGUUUUAAAGUGCGCACUUGUGCGUCGCCCGGCGAAAGGGAAGCCGGUUAACAUUCCGGCACCUGGAUGUGGAUUCUCCACGGCAACGUAACUGAAAGCGAAGACGUCGGCGGGGGCCCUGGGUAGAG
This 394-nucleotide ribosomal RNA is filed under the name Ochromonas sp. CCMP1393. Its description in RNAcentral is "partial Eukaryotic large subunit ribosomal RNA". It matches the Rfam family "Eukaryotic large subunit ribosomal RNA", at positions 1298 to 1689 of the family's 3401-position model. The record is from RNAcentral. Lineage: Eukaryota; Chrysophyceae; Chromulinales; Chromulinaceae.